GUUGUUCGUGGAUUUAUUGAUGCGCUCACAAGAGGGGGCCCCGGAGGUACACCUAGACCAAUUGAAAUGCAUUCUCAUGACCCUUUGAGGUAUAGUAAUCAGACAGCAGAAGAGGAGUUGAUGUUUUUUCAAAAAAAAUCUUUAUUAACAUUUGGUUUUCAUUAGGUAUGUAGGAGAUAUGUUGGCUUGGCUCCAUCAAGCUACUGCUUCUGAAAAGGAACACCUUGAAGCUCUCUUAAAGCAUGUAACUACACAAGGUGUUGAAGAAAAUAUUCAAGAAGUUGUUGGCCAUAUCACUGAAGGUGUGUGCAGGCCUCU
This 318-nucleotide small RNA is filed under the name Pongo abelii (Sumatran orangutan). RNAcentral's name for it is "processed transcript". The record is from RNAcentral. Lineage: Eukaryota; Metazoa; Chordata; Mammalia; Primates; Hominidae.